RNAcentral lists this small RNA (763 nucleotides) under Drosophila pseudoobscura pseudoobscura. Its description in RNAcentral is "GA30574". The record is from RNAcentral. Lineage: Eukaryota; Metazoa; Arthropoda; Insecta; Diptera; Drosophilidae.
CAAUCUUUUUUCAAUUAAUAUUUUAGGAAUUGCUAUAAAUCUAAUAACUUACGAGGAUCGCUUUGAUCUUCAUCGGAUUGAAAAGGAACUUGGUACCGAAAUAAAACCCAUACCGAAGGUAAUCGACCCUGCUUUAUAUGUCGCAAAUGUUAGCGGAUCGUCUGGAGAAAUUUGCAACAACAGUGAUCUUAAUACUUCUGCAAACGAGGAAGGCAAUGUUAGCAAAUAGAAUUCAGAUAAAAUUGUAAUUGUAGGUUUUUUAGUAGAAUAUAAUACAUGAAAUCAAUAAAGAGAAUGAAAUAUUUCGGAAAACUAACAACGACCUAGAUAAAUACACUAGAUAUAAGCCCAGUAAAGGUAUUUUGCAAAUUUAAUCAACAAAAAUUGGUAAAAAAAAAAUGAAACAAUAGUUGUAUUUCCCCUGUGGGAUCCAGAAGGAUUCUGUGAGGAGGCAUCGGUAGCACGACAUCGCCAGGGUUUUUGUUUGCCCUCAGACGUCUCGACAAGGGACUCCCACGAGUGCGUAUGUUCUUGGGCGACUCAGGCCAAUCCAAUUAGCACAGAACGAAUUUUUGUUUAGUUUGGAGCUUCUAUUUGGUUUCAGAACUAUUACGGGUCAAAAAUGUAUGGCCCUUGUGGAUCGUGCUGUCCCAUGUGCUGUGGAGGCUUCUGUGGUGGCUGUUACUGAGCAAUAACGAAAGGGGCCAAGCCUUCCAUUACAAAUCGUGUGACACCAUUACAAAUAAAACAUUUACAAAUGAAA